Molecule: non-coding RNA, 44 nt
Filed under: Prorocentrum micans
Lineage: Eukaryota; Dinophyceae; Prorocentrales; Prorocentraceae
Source: RNAcentral
UUUUUUUUUUUUUUUUUUUUUUUUUUUUUCUCCAAAUCUGCGCA